RNAcentral lists this ribosomal RNA (1426 nucleotides) under uncultured marine bacterium. RNAcentral describes it as "partial 16S ribosomal RNA". It matches the Rfam family "Bacterial small subunit ribosomal RNA". The record is from RNAcentral.
CUCAGAAUGAACGCUGGCGGCAUGCCUAACACAUGCAAGUCGAACGAGAUCUUCGGAUCUAGUGGCGCACGGGUGAGUAACGCGUGGGAACCUACCUUUUAGUACGGGACAACGUUUGGAAACGAACGCUAAUACCGUAUACGCCCUCCGGGGGAAAGGUCAGCCGCUGAAAGAGGGGCCCGCGUCUGAUUAGCUUGUUGGUAAGGUAACGGCUUACCAAGGCAACGAUCAGUAGCUGGUCUGAGAGGAUGAUCAGCCACACUGGGACUGAGACACGGCCCAGACUCCUACGGGAGGCAGCAGUGGGGAAUAUUGGACAAUGGAGGCAACUCUGAUCCAGCAAUGCCGCGUGUGUGAUGAAGGCCCUAGGGUUGUAAAGCACUUUCAACGGUGAAGAUGAUGACGGUAGCCGUAGAAGAAGCCCCGGCUAACUUCGUGCCAGCAGCCGCGGUAAUACGAAGGGGGCGAGCGUUAUUCGGAAUUAUUGGGCGUAAAGGGCUCGCAGGCUGCUUGAACAGUUAGACGUGAAAUCCCCGGGCUCAACCUGGGAACUGCGUUUAAUACUAGCAAGCUAGAGAAAUAGAGAGGAAAGUGGAACUCCCAGUGUAGAGGUGAAAUUCGUAGAUAUUGGGAAGAACACCAGUGGCGAAAGCGACUUUCUGGCUAUUUUCUGACGCUGAGGAGCGAAAGCGUGGGGAGCAAACAGGAUUAGAUCCCCUGGUAGUCCACGCCGUAAACGAUGUGUGCUAGCUGUUGGGAAACGCUUUUCAGUGGCGCAGCUAACGUCUUAAGUUGUCCGCCUGGGGAGUACGGCCGCAAGGUUAAAACUCAAAUGAAUUGACGGGGACCCGCACAAGCGGUGGAGCAUGUGGUUUAAUUCGAUGCAACGCGAAAAACCUUACCUACACUUGACAUACUUGGAAUCUUUUGUAAUGAAGCAGUGCCUUCGGGAGCCAAGAUACAGGUGCUGCAUGGCUGUCGUCAGCUCGUGUCGUGAGAUGUUCCGUUAAGUCGGAUAACGAGCGCAACCCUUACCCUUAUUUGCCAGCGAUUCGGUCGGGAACUAUAAGGGGACUGCCGGUGAUAAACCGGAGGAAGGUGAGGACGACGUCAAGUCAUCAUGGCCCUUACGAGUAGGGCUACACACGUGCUACAAUGGGGAAUACAGACGGACGCUAAGCCGCGAGGUGGUGCUAAUCCUAUAAAGUUCUUCGUAGUCCGGAUUGGAGUCUGCAACUCGACUCCAUGAAGUCGGAAUCGCUAGUAAUCGCGAAUCAGCAUGUCGCGGUGAAUACGUUCUCGGGUCUUGUACACACCGCCCGUCACACCAUGGAAGUGGAUUGCACCAGAAGUAGAUAGUCUAACCUUAGGGAGGGCGUUUACCACGGUGUGUUUCAUGACUGGGGUGAAGUCGUAACAAGGUAGC